Molecule: long non-coding RNA, 512 nt
Filed under: Pongo abelii (Sumatran orangutan)
Lineage: Eukaryota; Metazoa; Chordata; Mammalia; Primates; Hominidae
Description: lncRNA (ENSPPYG00000031683.1)
Source: RNAcentral
CUUCAGUAAUACUCCAAGAUGAAGUGGUUUCCACUGGCCAGAAAGAGCUGCUAAACUUACACUGCUGUACAGCAUCCCUGCCUGUAUUAAAUCUUGUGUGAAAAGGCCAAGUACCUUCCUUCCCCUGGUCUGACACGUUGUGUGCCAUCUUGGCAUGAUUUACAGGUCAUUACUGGCUAUGUAUUUGGCUGACUUCGUAGGUGCCAAAGACAGGUCACAGGGCAUGCAACCACUCAUACAUCUACGCAGAGCAUUCUGUACCGAAAACAACCAUAUCAAUUAUACAGCUGGAAAGAACAGAAGGUCUUUUAAAUUUCCCCUCCUUGCCCUGCAGUGGAGCUGGAGCCCGAGGGUCGUCUUGGCCGCACUUCCUCAGCCUUCGCCUUGUGCAGGGCGUCACUGUGCCCCUUGAACUCCAGCUGGUUUUUAUGUUUUUGAAUGAGAAGUAUAUGGGAGCCCUGGAUCAUGUCACCCAUCAGCUGACUAUUAAGAAAAAUGUAUCUAACCCAGUG